GACGAACGCUGGCGGCGUGCUUAACACAUGCAAGUCGAACGGAAAGGCCCUGCUUUUGUGGGGUGCUCGAGUGGCGAACGGGUGAGUAACACGUGAGUAACCUGCCCUUGACUUUGGGAUAACUUCAGGAAGCUGGGGCUAAUACCGGAUAGGAGCUCCUGCUGCAUGGUGGGGGUUGGAAAGUUUCGGCGGUUGGGGAUGGACUCGCGGCUUAUCAGCUUGUUGGUGGGGUAGUGGCUUACCAAGGCUUUGACGGGUAGCCGGCCUGAGAGGGUGACCGGCCACAUUGGGACUGAGAUACGGCCCAGACUGCUACGGGAGGCAGCAGUGGGGAAUAUUGCACAAUGGGCGGAAGCCUGAUGCAGCAACGCCGCGUGCGGGAUGACGGCCUUCGGGUUGUAACCCGCUUUCGCCUGUGACGAAGCGUGAGUGACGGUAAUGGGUAAAGAAGCACCGGCUAACUACGUG
RNAcentral lists this ribosomal RNA (468 nucleotides) under uncultured bacterium. RNAcentral's name for it is "partial 16S ribosomal RNA". It matches the Rfam family "Bacterial small subunit ribosomal RNA", at positions 28 to 507 of the family's 1533-position model. The record is from RNAcentral.